GAACGCUGGCGGCGUGCCUAACACAUGCAAGUCGCGCGAGAACGUCUCCUUCGGGAGGCUAGUAAAGCGGCGAACGGGUGAGUAACACGUGAGCGAUCUGCCCGACGGUGGGGGACAACCCAGGGAAACCUGGGCUAAUACCGCGUACAGCGCUGGGAGUAGAGCCCCAGCGUGAAAGCUGGCCUCUCCAUGGAAGCUAGCGCCGUCGGAGGAGCUCGCGGCCUAUCAGCUUGUUGGUGGGGUAACGGCCUACCAAGGCUAUGACGGGUAGCUGGCGUGAGAGCGCGAUCAGCCACACUGGGACUGAGACACGGCCCAGACUCCUACGGGAGGCAGCAGUGGGGAAUAUUGCGCAAUGGGCGAAAGCCUGACGCAGCGACGCCGCGUGGGGGAGGAAGGCCUUAGGGUUGUAAACCCCUGUCAGACGGGACGAACCGUAUGUCGGCGAAUAUCCGGCAUGCCUGACGGUACCGUCAGAGGAAGCUCCGGCUAACUCCGUGCCAGCAGCCGCGGUAAUACGGAGGGAGCUAGCGUUGUUCGGAAUUACUGGGCGUAAAGGGCGCGUAGGCGGCCGAGUAAGUCGCGUGUGAAAGGCCGGGGCUCAACCCCGAGCACUGCACGUGAUACUGCCCGGCUAGAGAAAGGUAGAGGCGAGCGGAAUUCCCGGUGUAGCGGUGGAAUGCGUAGAUAUCGGGAAGAACACCUGUGGCGAAGGCGGCUCGCUGGGCCUUGUCUGACGCUGA
RNAcentral lists this ribosomal RNA (743 nucleotides) under uncultured bacterium. RNAcentral's name for it is "bacterial SSU rRNA". It matches the Rfam family "Bacterial small subunit ribosomal RNA", at positions 31 to 749 of the family's 1533-position model. The record is from RNAcentral.